Molecule: long non-coding RNA, 515 nt
Organism: Carassius auratus (goldfish)
Lineage: Eukaryota; Metazoa; Chordata; Actinopteri; Cypriniformes; Cyprinidae
Exons: 4
Source: RefSeq, a predicted model, not a curated record
CAAUGACUGCAUUUCAUCAUACCAGCACCUGUGCUAAACUUGCAAAAUGGCAUUUUUGGCUCUGGUUUUGGUAUUUUGUGCCUGUGUCUCUUUAAGUGAUUCCGCCUGCUCCUUGACACUUCUAGAUCAAGGUGCAGAAUAUUGUGUCGAUGGCUAUGAUAACUCCAAGCAUCCAAUCGGAAGUACUUGGACAAACAAAAGAUGCAUCGGAUGUACCUGCUCCCCUGGGGAAAUGAAGUGCUGUGACGUGGUGGGCCGAGCGAUUAACCUCUCUCAAGGCUGCAUUGCGAUUUAUGAUUACAACGAUAAAUGCACAUUUGAAGUAUUAAAUCCAAACAACCCCAACAUGAUAUGUUCUUAUGAUGUUGUUGGAAAGGAAUUAAAAUGAUCAAGUAAUGUGUCCAUUUUACAUUCAAAUAUCAGCUGUUUUUGGAUCCAACUUGGACUUCACUGUAAAGAACACAUUGUACCAAUUUUCCUCAAUAAAAGUGCAUCAGCUUUUUGAGUAUUUUGAA